AUGCCGGCAUCGCAGUGCCCAGAGACACCGCAGAUGAAAUAUCGGGUCCCAGCGAUGGCAAGCGGAACAACAUCGUUACCGGUCGGGAAAGUCGCUAUGGGGCUGGAGCAGUUGCAAGAGUCAUACCCCGUCUUGCUCACCUCCACCACGUUGCGCACGGCGGUGGAGUACUGGAACUUGAGCUCAUCGCCGGUGGUGAACCUCAUUCUCGAAACCCACUAG
RNAcentral lists this ribosomal RNA (222 nucleotides) under Triticum aestivum (bread wheat). RNAcentral describes it as "partial small subunit ribosomal RNA". Lineage: Eukaryota; Viridiplantae; Streptophyta; Magnoliopsida; Poales; Poaceae. The record is from RNAcentral.